Oxyura jamaicensis (ruddy duck) is the source of this 1585-nucleotide long non-coding RNA. RefSeq lists it as uncharacterized. The transcript is spliced from 3 exons. Lineage: Eukaryota; Metazoa; Chordata; Aves; Anseriformes; Anatidae. The record is from RefSeq and is a predicted model, not a curated record.
CAGCCUCAAGGAUGAACAUUACCUAAUACUGAGAGCAGAGGUAGAUUCUGCUGCUUUUCCCUGAUGGAAGUAAGGGUACUGUGAGCAAUGCCUGAGCCUUUGCAGCAUUUCUUGAGUGCUGCAGGCAGGACGGGGGCUCUUGCAACCAUGUCACCUUGUGGCUGGUUCCACAUCCACCUGCUGAAAGCAGCAACCUACCAAACCAUGCUGUGGUGUGAAAGGGGCCUGUCUUCCUACCUUCAUGCUUUGAUUAUUUAUAGUUAAGCACAGCAGGUGAGCUCUCAAACAAGAGGUAAGACCUCCUACUUAGAGGUCUUUACAAUACCUGCUUCAGACAAAAGAUUUCUGGUUUUGAUAGGUGAUCAUUUGAUAGGUGAUCAUGUGCAGCAUGAAAACAGCAUUGUUUGCAUGUAUGAAUCCUCCUUCAUUGAAAUCCAAGAACCAUUCUUGCUUGAACUAUGUGCAAAAGGAAUCUGGGAUUAAAAAGGGCCUCAAGAGCAAAGAGGAACAAGGGACAAUGAGAGAUGUACCUCUCAGCAAGGCUUCCACAGAGAAGCCUCAAUUUAUGUGAAAGGUGAAAAAGAAUAACAGGAUGACUUCAGCAUUGGCUUGUGAUGGGUGAGGGAGGGCCCUUUUCAUCAUAGUCUGGCAGAGAAACCUAUAGCCUCAGAAGAGAGAGGAACUACAGACCUUACUUCAGAAAUAUAAGUCCUUUUCUAAUAAAUGGCUGAAAAUGUAGGAGUUCCUAAAGAAAGUCAGCAUUCCCGAACCUCGUAUCUUUAGCUCUUUUCCUGCCUGACAGAGUGCUGGUAAUGCUUUCACUCUGCUGCUUUACUCAAUCUCCUGUACAUUUCAGGGAGGGGGAGAGCAAGCACUGUUACCUUACACAGAAAGGUCAAAAACCAGCUUCAAGACCUGUGCCAGCAAUAGCUGGAAGCUAGGGCAGUUGUAGAGCUUUCUGUUGCUGGAUGACCCCAGUCUGAGAGAAGAGCAGGGUAGGGCUACUGGUGUUAAAGGCACACGCAUUCUGACUGAAGGAGUUUUUUUCCUGAGGCUUGGUUCCAGUAACAGAUGCAUCUUGCCUAUCUUGAGCAAUGCAUGUAGUCACCUAAGCCCUGUUUAUAGUCAGCAAGGAUAAAUAAGCGUGUCUGGAGGGCAGUUCAUCCCACCUGUGUUAAUUUGGGGGAGGUGGGAGUGGAGGUGGUGGAAAUAAGUGCCUCUGGGAAUGGCCUGCCCACUGCUGCUGACCACACAGGGAGCCCAGGCAACUUUCUGGGGCUGCUUUUUGUCCAUGGGAGAAGUCUGAGUAACAUAGUGCUGCCUAUGCUUUUGAUUAGGCUGAAACAAGGAAGUACUGAAAAACAAACAAACAAAAAACAUGAAAGAAGCUGAUGCCUUGUUGUUCUCAGACUGAAGCCCCAAACAUUAACCACGUAUUGCAAAAGUUUCCUCAGAAGCCUCAUGGAAGAUUCAUGAUUCCCAGGAAUUGCAAUUUCUUAGAAAAAGAUGCAGCCGAAUAUUGGAAGUUAUAUGACAAAAGUUAAAUUUCAUCAUGUCUUGUUUACACAAGGCCACUCAGAUUCUG